CAUGCUUGCUGAUGACUUGAAGCUGAGCAGUGAUGAUGAUGACACUCAAAGGGCCACUCAUGAGUCAGCUUCCUGGGAUGGAAACAGCCUGUCAGCACAGCGAGCGCACACACAUGGCAGGCGAGUGAGACAUUCCAGCUCAGACUCCUCUGGCUCUGACUCCACGGCUGAGUCGGGCAGCAGCAGCCUUCACUCCCGGAGCCCCAGCCGAAGCCCAGACGUCCAGCCAGAUCCUGCGUCGCCUGCCAACGUGCAGCCACCGUGCAGCAGC
Molecule: non-coding RNA, 271 nt
Organism: Plectropomus leopardus (leopard coralgrouper)
Lineage: Eukaryota; Metazoa; Chordata; Actinopteri; Perciformes; Serranidae
Source: RefSeq, a predicted model, not a curated record